UGCAGUCCCAGUCCCGGUCGGGCAGUUCCUUCAGGGACGAACUGGCGGCCGCCCCCUCCCUCUUCUUCACCAAAUCUCCCCCAGAUCUGCUAUUUUGAUCAUCAAAACGAGUAGAUCGGAGCAUCCCCGAGUUGCUUGAGAUAUUCUCUUCCCAAUCCUUCAUUUAUUUUCAGUCAAGAUUGGCUAUUGUAGAUGCAUUUUUUCAAACAUGGUGGAACCCUAAGAUGAGUUAUUAGUGAUUUGUUUGAUGAAUAUUUUGGUUACAUUAUGUUUAGAAAGAAGACGUAUACUCCUUGUGUUGAAGUAUUCUUAGUUAACUUGUUUAGUAUUGGAUUUAGAGAGAGACCAUUUUUUGGAUUAGGUUGAACCUAUUAUUUGUUAAUAAUUAGUUGUGAUAGAUUCUUUAUAAUAAAAUAGGUUGAAAAGAAUUGGUGUUGGUAAUGUCGUUCGUGAUUUGUAUCUUUGGGAUAAUUUGUAGUAGUUCUCACACGAUUUUGUAUAUGAUGUGGUCAUAAUUUUAAGCAUAUAUCAUAACAAAUCCAUUGACCUUAUUUUGUAAGAUGUUUGAGCCGGAUAAAUAUCCCGGCCUUGAUGAUUAUUACGAGGAGAAGCAUUGUGUUGUGCUAGUGGAAAGAGGGGAGGUUUCUCCAGUACUUCGUUUGAGAGGCCAUAACCCACGCGAGUCCCUGAAGUAUGACCGUCGCUACGAGCUUUAUUUUAGAAGAAUGGAUCUUCUCCGGUUUGUGCUCAACUUUAAAGGAACACCACCAUGCAUGGCUGAACUCGACAGCCAUUACCGCCCUUACGGACCGUUGGAGGCCGGAGACGCACUCUUUUCACCUUGCUCUUGUUGAGAUGACCGUCACUUUGGAGGAUAUUGCGAUGAUCUCCGGUCUUCCGAUCGAGGGCAGGGCUCUUACCGGGAAGGUGAGGUCUGAGGGGUGGCGACAAAGGGUUGCAGGUUUGGUUGGUGUUGAACCUCCCCCGUGGAUUCAUGAAACAAAGAAGGAUCCUAGGCCAUCUGGUGUUUUGUUCUCUUGGCUACAAGAACAUUUUUAUGAGUGCCCAGAGAAUGCCAGUCCGGCUGUUGUGGAGAGGUACGCCAGGGCUUACUUAUGGAAUCUUUUGACCCAAGUGGUGUUUCCUGACGGCA
Non-coding RNA from Triticum urartu, 1153 nucleotides. The record is from RefSeq and is a predicted model, not a curated record. NCBI's taxonomy places the organism in Eukaryota, Viridiplantae, Streptophyta, Magnoliopsida, Poales, Poaceae.